AUUGAACGCUGGCGGCAUGCCUUACACAUGCAAGUCGAACGGCAGCACGGGUGCUUGCACCUGGUGGCGAUUGGCGAACGGGUGAGUAAUACAUCGGAACAUGUCCUGUAGUGGGGGAUAGCCCGGCGAAAGCCGGAUUAAUACCGCAUACGAUCUACGGAUGACAGCGGGGGACCUUCUGGCCUCGCGCUUUAGGGUUGGCCGAUGGCUGAUUAGCUAGUUGGUGGGGUAAAGGCCUACCAAGGCGACGAUCAGUAGCUGGUCUGAGAGGACGAUCAGCCACACUGGGACUGAGACACGGCCCAGACUCCUACGGGAGGCAGCAGUGGGGAAUUUUGGACAAUGGGCGAAAGCCUGAUCCAGCAAUGCCGCGUGUGUGAAGAAGGCCUUCGGGUUGUAAAGCACUUUUGUCCGGAAAGAAAACCUUGGCCCUAAUACGGUCGGGGGAUGACGGUACCGGAAGAAUAAGCACCGGCUAACUACGUG
Molecule: ribosomal RNA, 486 nt
Filed under: uncultured bacterium
Lineage: Bacteria
Description: partial 16S ribosomal RNA
Rfam family: Bacterial small subunit ribosomal RNA
Source: RNAcentral